Molecule: ribosomal RNA, 496 nt
Filed under: uncultured bacterium
Lineage: Bacteria
Description: partial 16S ribosomal RNA
Rfam family: Bacterial small subunit ribosomal RNA
Source: RNAcentral
GAUGAACGCUGGCGGCGUGCCUAAUACAUGCAAGUCGAGCGAACAGACGAGGAUCUUGCUCCUCUGACGUUAGCGGCGGACGGGUGAGUAACACGUGGAUAACCUACCUAUCAUACUGGGAUAACUUCGGGAAACCGGAGCUAAUACCGUAUAAUAUAUUGAACCGCAUGGUUCAAUAGUGAAAGACGGUUUUGCUGUCACUUAUAGAUGGAUCCGCGCCGCAUUAUCUAGUUGGUAAGGUAACGGCUUACCAAGGCAACGAUGCGUAGCCGACGUGAGAGGGGGAAGGGCCACACUGGAGCUGAGACACGUCCAGACUCCUACGGGAGGCAGCAGUAGGGAAUCGUCCGCAAUGGGCGAAAGCCUGACGGAGCAACGCCGCGUGAGUGAUGAAGGUCUUCGGAUCGUAAAACUCUGUUAUUAGGGAAGAACAAAUGUGUAAGUAACUAUGCACGUCUUGACGGUACCUAAUCAGAAAGCCACGGCUAACUACGUG